Molecule: ribosomal RNA, 406 nt
Filed under: uncultured bacterium
Lineage: Bacteria
Description: partial 16S ribosomal RNA
Rfam family: Bacterial small subunit ribosomal RNA
Source: RNAcentral
AUUGAACGCUGGCGGCAGGCCUAACACAUGCAAGUCGAACGAGUGGCGGACGGGUGAGUAAUGUCUGUGAAACUGCCUGAUGGAUGGGGAUAACUACUGGAACCGGUAGCUAAUCCCGCAUACCUUCCGAUGUUCCCAGAUGGGAUUAGCUAGUUGGUGGUGUAACGGGUAACCCAGGGGACGAUCCCUAGCGGGUCUGAGAGGAUGACCAGCAACACUGGAACUGAGACACGGUCCAUACUCCUACGGGAGGCAGCAGUGGGGAAUAUUGCACAAUGGGCGCAAGCCUGAUGCAGCAAUGCAGCGUGUAUGAAGAAGGCCUUCGGGUUGUAAAGUACUUUCAGCGGGGAGGCGUUACCCGCAGAAGAAGCACCGGCUAACUCCGUGCCAGCAGCCGCGGUAAUUC